ACGCGUCGUCCGUGUGUGUGGACCAAAUCGUCCGCACCAGAUUCGUCGCCCCUCGCCUUGCAGUCGUUCGCCUCCUCCGCCUCCCAGUCGAAGCGCCAUCGCCGAUCUCCUCGAAGCCGGCCCUUCGACUCAAUCCCUUGGCCCUCCUCCCCCCUAGGCCGUGAGGAAGGCUCCAUGGCGUCGCUACAGCGACGGAUUCGUCGCCAGCGGGGAACGCCACCGCAACGCGCACCAAAAUUGCAGCGUCGUCGCCGGCCCUUCGACUCAAUCCCGCGGCCCUCCUCCGCCGUUGGCCGUGAAGAAGGCUCGAUGUCGUGGCCGCGGGGGAGGUGGGUGGAGACCGAAUCUGCAAGGGGCUCUAUCAGUGCAUGCAGGUAUGGUUAGACUCCCUCGCUCAGAUAGUUGGAUGCAAGCCUGUGCCUCUUCCUUGGCUCCGUUCCUGAUCCUCCAUGUGCAACCUUGGAUGGCCGUGUACUUCUCCUCCCCUCUCCCCUUUAUCCUCCUGCAGUGACAGCCUCGCAUCAAUCUUGAUUGAGGUGCUUCAAUGCCGGAUGUAGAUUCAGCGUCAGCGUCACCUUAGUACCUUACCCUCCCGCUCUUCCUUGAAUGCGUCGUCGCCAUCAUCAGUUGUCGUUGGCUCACAGGUCCAUAUCACCACUAUAUGUAUACUGCUCUCUGUUGGUUGCAACUAAACUUUUCUUUUUGUGUCUUCGAUAAGCUGGACAAUCACUAACCAUUUAAUUUUGUAGUUACCUACUGAUAAAUCUAGAGGUAAAAUAAAAUGCAUCUUUGGCAUUAUAGGAUUUGCAAUAUUUCUGUCGUGGCCUGUGGUUCUCUAAUCCCAAUUCGUUCCACUACAUUGGAUUUAUCCUAUACCCUAACCUCUUUGACUUACAGAUUAUGUCUUCAGUUUAAGCUGUUGUAUGUUGGGUGAAUCCCGAGAGUGUUUGUUCUAUGUUUGAAAAGGGGAAAAUUUACUAACAGUCUAAUACCUGCAGGGGAGAAUUUAGCAAUUACAUACACAAUGAAAUAAUCUGCUGCAGUGUCUUCUUUGUCUGAAUUUUAAGGUAAUGUUGUGGAACAAUUCGUCACUGUCUAUGACAGUGGUAUUUGUGGGAUAGCAGGAGAGAGUCCUGAAUAUCUAACUUUGUAGGGUUACAUGGAAAAUUGAUUCAUAAGCCUUACUUCAGUAGAACAAAUACUGAUAUAACUAUAUAUAUAGCACCUUGCAAUAAGAUUGAAGAUGUCCUAACAUUGGAGCAGGUUAGGUAUAUGUAGUUCCAGCAUGCUCUCAUUGUUAAUCAGUUUCUAAUACUAAUAAAUUUUGAAUAUAGGUCAUGGCAUUGUGGGGCUAUGUUUACUUCUGUACUCAUGGGCAUGACAGUUUUCUUAUUUUGUGAAACAAAUCAAACGUAAACAAUAUUAUGUCAGUGAUAAGGAAAAUGAACUAGCAAGCAAGAGUGAUAUGAAAAGAUUGGUAGUCACUGAUAAGGAAAAUGAACGGGCAAGCAAGAGUGAUAGAUUGAUGUGAAAGGAUUGGUAUGAAAAUUAAUUAUUGUGUUUCCUUCCGGCCUUUUAACUGUGCAUAAAAGAAAAAGGUGUAUCCAUCUUGCUUUGUGUCUAUUUCUUUUAUAGAAGCUCUAACAUGUUUCCCCUCAACCCAUGCUAUGCACUCCUAAGGUGUUCCAAUACAUGUGUAAUUACCUUUGCUGAUGACAGACUACCCAUUUGUAAUCUUAGCUGUCUAAUAAUUAUGUGAUCACCGUGUUCCAUAGAUAUUUACUCUUAUUGCACUUCAUGUAUUUUAUCUUAUGCUAUUACUAUGUUUAUUUUGAUUCCUCUAUUUUCCAGGUUAUGGAUGUAAUUACUCCCUGUGCCUUCUAUUCUUGACAAAGGUGAAUGCUCCGCUAGAGAGAUUUGUUGUUAGAAUAUCCUUUAAUAUCCAUGAUACUCCUUGCUGGCCUUUAUUUCUAUAUCGUUAGUAAAAGCCUAUUGAUUUCCAGAGAUAUUGAUGUGUACCAUUUUCCUUUUUUGUUUUGAGAGCCUUCCACUAUAUCUCCAACCUUUGUAGUAUGCACAUAUUCUUACUUGAGUCUACACUUUUAAUGAUGUCAGAAUAGAUGCAGAUGGCCUGCUCUUUUGCUAAUGAAUCCUCUUUUGCAUAGUACUUCAAUUGUGCCUUGGUGAUGCAGGCACCAAAUCAUUUCAUUUCCUGAUGACGAUAAGUCAAUUAUGGCUUGGUGAUGCAGACACCAAAUUAUUUCAUUUCCUCAUGAUGAGAAGUUACCUAAAUGGUGAGAGUCAAAAAAAUCAUUUCUGUCAACUUUUGAUGUUCCGACUCAAUUUGAGAUCCAAUCUCAGAAUUUAUAUUUUCUCUUCUAACAUGCUACUUCCUUUGGUUUCACUGAAUAAUCACCUACGCCUGGAUCUGUUGUCUUGGUAAGAUUCUUUUACUGAUUCGGGAUUCUAGCUAGAUUGUAAAAAGUAGAGAAACCUUGGCCCUGAGUGAUUUUUUUCUUUCAAAAUAUUGUUCUCACCAUUCAAUAAACAAGAUCCAUUGCAAAAAUUGCCAUGAUAUAAAGAGGUAGCUUUGAAUUUGCACAAUCUAUUACAUUAUUCAAUCAAUAUCAAUAAUUAGCUUAGUCAUUCAGUUAUAUUCAGUAAUAAACCAAACCGUUCUGGUAAAAGCUGCAAUUCAGUUAGCAUUCUUGGUUUUCUUCAAAUUUUACAGAAAAGCAAACUGAGCUAGAGGUACAUGAUUUAUAUUCCUGCAUUCAUUAUAUGGAUUUCUUUGCCAAGCAACAACACUAAAUCUGAAUGCCUGUGCAGGAUUUCAAAUUGUCUAUUAACUCUGUGAUACCUUCAUGGUUUCUUACUGUGUCCAGUUAGCAAGCAUUUGAAAAUGUACAAGAUCAGUUUGCAUUUUAUAUUGCUUCUUGAAAAUCUCAAGUUGUAUUUCAUUAUCCAUUUGGCUAAGACUUCUGUCCAAGAAUAUGAUUAGCUGGGGCUCAACACAAGAUCAAUAUGGCCUUUGCUGCCAUAUUAGGGGGUGAUGGAUGGAUCCGGUACCAAAACGUAGAUUUCUUUCUUUUAGCGUACUACUUCCUUGGAUUUCACUGAAUAGUGGCUUAUGCCUCGAUCUUUCAUCUCGGUAAAUUUUUUUUGUCCAAUUAGGAUUCUAGGUUGUUAAAAGUAUAGAAACCUUGAUCCUGACUCCUUGAGUGACAUUUAUUUUUGUUUUUGAAAGAAGAAGCUGUUCAAGUUAUCAAAUACUGUUCAAUUUAGGGAAACUGGAAAGCACAAGUUUUGAUCUAAAAUAUUUUUGUUUGUGGGGAACCAUGAUUCUAGAUGGGACUCUAGAGUACUUAGAGUAGGGCACACUGCCUCUUUGAAUUAUGUGGCCACAUCAAGCACAAUUUUCUUUUGAACACCACAUCAAGCACAGUAGACAUAAGAUCAGGUGCCCAUAUGGUCUUUUAUCCACAUAAAACUCAAUAGAUAUAAGGUCAAAUACCCAUUUGUUCUUUUAGCUGCCAAAUUUAAGUAUUUAGGCCAUACCUUCCCCUAAUAUGCACCUCUUUCGCAAAACUAAUAUCUUGAUAUCAUAUUUUCAUUUAUUGUACAAGGAAAAUGGAAGCACAUGGACAUGGGCGAUCACCAGUAGGGGUAAUACAGAUCUCUUGGAUAUGGUAACAGGUUUGGUAUGGUUGAAGCAUUUGAGGUGCUUCUGUAGAUUGGCUUUGGUCAUGAAUUGAGAUAUUUGCAAUCGAAGAUAGCCUUUCAAACAGGGAUGUCAGGAUCAACAGCAUACUAACAGCAUACUACGUACAUGUACAGCCUUCAAUUGCCCUUUCUUAUGGCCAUUCAACUACAUAACGAUAUUGUAAUGGAUGCCAAUUCGUAUUCUUUGUUGAGAUAAACAAGUAUCAUGUUGUAUGAUGAUGUUCCUCCUCUA
Panicum virgatum (switchgrass) is the source of this 3955-nucleotide long non-coding RNA. RefSeq lists it as uncharacterized. The transcript has 2 exons. NCBI's taxonomy places the organism in Eukaryota, Viridiplantae, Streptophyta, Magnoliopsida, Poales, Poaceae. The record is from RefSeq and is a predicted model, not a curated record.